This 345-nucleotide ribosomal RNA is filed under the name Staphylococcus xylosus. Its description in RNAcentral is "bacterial SSU rRNA". It matches the Rfam family "Bacterial small subunit ribosomal RNA", at positions 540 to 884 of the family's 1533-position model. The record is from RNAcentral. Lineage: Bacteria; Bacillati; Bacillota; Bacilli; Caryophanales; Staphylococcaceae.
GGUUAUCGGAUUAUUGGGCGUAAGCGCGCGUAGGCGGUUUCUUAGUCUGAUGUCGUAAAGCCCACGGCUCAACCGUGGAGGGUCAUUGGAAACUGGGAAACUUGAGUGCAGAAGAGGAAAGUGGAAUUCCAUGUGUAGCGGUGAAAUGCGCAGAGAUAUGGAGGAACACCAGUGGCGAAGGCGACUUUCUGGUCUGUAACUGACGCUGAUGUGCGAAAGCGUGGGGAUCAAACAGGAUUAGAUACCCUGGUAGUCCACGCCGUAAACGAUGAGUGCUAAGUGUUAGGGGGUUUCCGCCCCUUAGUGCUGCAGCUAACGCAUUAAGCACUCCGCCUGGGGAGUACG